CUACCCCGAACUCUGGGAUAACUCUCCGAAAGGAGGGCUAAGACUGGAUAGGGUCCCUGAGGUGUAGGCUGCAGGGGGAAAACGGGCCUCUGUUUCAUGCUCGUGGUUUGGGAUGAGCUUGCGGCCCAUUAGCUAGUUGGUAGGGUAAUGGCCUACCAAGGCAACGAUGGGUAGCUGGUCUGAGAGGAUGAUCAGCCACACUGGCACUGAGACACGGGCCAG
This 222-nucleotide ribosomal RNA is filed under the name uncultured bacterium. RNAcentral describes it as "partial 16S ribosomal RNA". It matches the Rfam family "Bacterial small subunit ribosomal RNA", at positions 126 to 334 of the family's 1533-position model. The record is from RNAcentral.